UAAUACUCCAUAGAUUAGAGACACUGGAAUGUUCUUUAGUCGAAAGUUCUGGCGCCUUAGGAUGGAUCUGCGGUCGAUUAGGUUGUUGUUGGGGUAACGGCCCAACAAGCCUGUAAUCGAUACGGGUUGUGGGAGCAAGAGCCCGGAGAUGGAAUCUGAGACACGAUUCCAGGCCCUACGGGGCGCAGCAGGCGCGAAAACUUUACAAUGCAGGAAACUGUGAUAAGGGAACUCCGAGUGCCCGUAUACGCGGGCUGUUCAGGUGUUUAAAAAUCAUCUGAAGAAAGGGCCGGGCAAGACCGGUGCCAGCCGCCGCGGUAAUACCGGCGGCUCGAGUGGUGGCCACUAUUAUUGGGCUUAAAGCGUCCGUAGCUGGACCGAUAAGUCUCUUGGGAAAUCCGCCGGCUCAACCGGCGGGCGUCUAAGGGAUACUGUUAGUCUAGGGACCGGGAGAGGUGAGAGGUACUCCGGGGGUAGGAGUGAAAUCCUGUAAUCCCCGGGGGACCACCGAUGGCGAAGGCAUCUCACCAGAACGACUCCGACAGUGAGGGACGAAAGCUGGGGGAGCGAACCGGAUUAGAUACCCGGGUAGUCCCAGCCGUAAACUAUGCGCGUUAGGUGU
Molecule: ribosomal RNA, 622 nt
Filed under: uncultured archaeon
Lineage: Archaea
Description: bacterial SSU rRNA
Rfam family: Archaeal small subunit ribosomal RNA
Source: RNAcentral